CGUUGGCGGCGUGCCUAAUACAUGCAAGUCGAACGAAGAGCUUAGAGUAGCAAUACCCUGAGUACUCUUAGUGGCGAACGGGUGAGUAACGCGUUGGUAACCUGCCCCAAAGAUAGGGAUAACAGUUCGAAAGGACUGCUAAUACCUUGUGUGGUCAUUUAGCUUAGACGCUUUUUGACUAAGGGAGCUUGCUCCGUUUUGGGAGGGGCCUGCGUCCCAUCAGCUAGUUGGUAGGGUAAUGGCCUACCAAGGCAAUGACGGGUAGGGGACCUGAGAGGGUGGCCCCCCACAAUGGAACUGAAACACGGUCCAUACACCUACGGGUGGCAGCAGUAGGGAAUAUUGGUAAUGUGCGAAAGCCGCGAACCAGCAACGCCGCGUGUGCGAAGAAGGCCUUCGGGUUGUAAAGCACUUUUCGGGAGGAAGAGGAAGGACUGUACUCCCGGAAUAAGUCUCGGCUAACUACGUGCCAGCAGCCGCGGUAAUACGUAGGAGGCAAACGUUAUCCGGAUUUACUUGGGCGUAAAGCGCGUGCAGGCCUGUUCGAUAAGUUGGGCGUGAAAGCUCCCGGCUCAACUGGGAGAGGUCGUUCAAUACUGUCGGACUAGAGGAUGGUAGAGGAAGGUGGAAUUCCGGGUGUAGUGGUGAAAUGCGCAGAUAUCCGGAGG
RNAcentral lists this ribosomal RNA (668 nucleotides) under uncultured organism. RNAcentral describes it as "bacterial SSU rRNA". It matches the Rfam family "Bacterial small subunit ribosomal RNA", at positions 34 to 704 of the family's 1533-position model. The record is from RNAcentral.